UUGGUAGAUGGCCUGCUACAUGAUUUAUGAAUCUACUAAUAUAUAAAUUUAGAAACUGGCUAUUUUGAAAGUAUCUUUAUGACUCUGCAAUUUUAUGCCUACUCUUCAAUUCAAGUAGAUGUCUUAGAUGUAGCGCCAACAAGUGUUUUUUCACUUCCUCGGUCCAUGCAUUUAAUUGCCAAUCUGCAGUGUCUGGCUACAUGUUGAGCCGAUCUGCCACACCUGAAAGAAAUAUGAAUUUCCUUCGGAAAUAACUUGUGUUCCUCAAUAGGCUUUGCUCUAAAACCUCUACUUUAGAGGAUGAUACUUUUUAUGUAUCAAGCAUUGCUUUCCAGGGCUUUCCACUGUCUUGGCAGUGAGGGAGCGUGUAACAAAAAGGGAACUUGAAAAAAAUUGACCAACGUCAUCAUUCAAACAGACACCUGGACAAUCCUGCGACUAAAAUUCCACUGGCAGCGUUUUAGGACUUCGUGGCUGACUCCUUUUUGCUUCUUGUGCCUCCAGCUAGUCCUUCGUUUAAGAUGACCACCACUUCCCUUCCUCCCGAAGGGAGAGGCAUCAGCCCCAACCUGUCCGCCUGUCGAGAGUCUCAGUGUAACAACCAUGGUAACUGUGUGACUCCUCCUGGUGGUGGUACAGAUCUACUAUGCAACUGUGAUCUGGGCUACAAGGGUGACUCCUGCGGGGAAACGGUCAAUGGAGCGUUAGGUAUACCUUUGACCCUCAGCGUGUUAGCCGUCCUCAUUGGCCUCGCAAUCCUGGCAUUCGUCCUUGCCAAGUACCAGCAGAGAAAAAGGAAGCAGCGAAGCAGGAAACUACUGGAACAAAAAGCCUAAAACAGUGCUGCUUAACGUGGAUAACUGUCGAACAGAACGUUUGACCUACUUUGAUGAUCAAAUUGUGGCUACUAUAAGAAUUAUUCUGCAGCAUCCUGGAGACUCUAGCACCAACUUCACAAACUGAGUGCCAAGGCAUAUGGGAGAGUUGCUUCCUAUAUAGUAUUUUUCCAUUUAUAUAAAUGUAUCCAUCUCCAGCUGCGUCGUAUCGCAAGCCUCAUGCUUAUUAAACUUGUGCCUCAUCUCGGAAAACAACAAGACUGGAUAAUUCUGUUGACCUAAUUUUAAACUUGGAGUGAAAAUGUCUGUAUUCUAAUCAGCAGCAGCUUCCGUGAUCACAUUUCUUGGAUGCUAAGGCAUGCUUCUGCAAUUAGUUUAAACUCUGACACUUGUUAGUAAAUUAAUGUAAAUGUUCAUCCUCUGUGAGGGAGCUGCAGUUUAGUUUAAGUAAAGCAAGUGGUUGUUAUUUUUCUAGUGAAGGCUUCUAACAGAGAUAACACUUAAGAUAACUCUAGAUUGUUUAACGGGCUAAGUCAGAAGCUGAUUUGAUGGCAUACAGUUUUUAUAAAAAUUUAUGUAGAAAAUAUGCACUUUUUUUUCCACUCGCGUGGGUUUAUUUCAUUUCAUUCAGUACAUAUUUUUGUACCGUGUGCAGUUGCUGGCUGUAUCAUAUUGUUCCCCUGGAAUUUCUUUCUUCUAAGCGUGUGUGUGUGUGAGUGCGCGCCUUUUAACACUUCAGGUUUUUCGGGAAGUAUUUCUACCUAUUUCUAAGUGCCCUGUCUUUGAUGCUGUUGUAACAAAAAUGCACCAGUACAUCACUGGCCUGCUUUUACUCUCAUAUACGGCUAUGCUUAUGAAAAUAAUGCAUGUAAAUCUGUGCAGACACAAUCCUGCAGAGCUGUCAACAACAUGCGCAUAUUGUACAGAUGAUAGGAGAGUGGUCAGAGCAGAUUUCAAUCUUGGCAUGUUUAAAACUUGACAGUACAUGUGCUUUUAAAUGAGUUCGUGUGCUCUUUGAAUUUCAGCCUACAAACUAAUUACCACUCAGUACACUUCCGGUCCUGUAAACAUGAAAACUACAUAGCAUCUUGGUGCUGAAUAAUUAGUCAAGUUCCUCAAGCUUGUAGCCAGUGUUAAGUGCCUACUGUAUUAAUUCUUUCACAUGUUCACAGUUGUCAUGUUUCACCUGGUGAAUACUGAUAAUCACAAAUGUAAACUAAUCAUCAACAACUCAGUAAUGUUUUGCAAAUGUCUGCUUCCCUGACAACAGGGUAAAACUGCAAAAUGUUAAUGUUACUGUAGAUUUUCAGAGCUCCCGUAUACAACACUCAAUAUUGUUAAGAUUAUCAUGUUUUUGUGUGUACAUGUGUUGAAUUUUUAUAUGAAUAUGACUAUUGUUGAUGAGCAGGGUUUCUCAAUGUAUGCAUUCUCAAGUGUCUUCCACUAGCUUGUAAACCCUUUGAAUUAUAUAGACAGAAGAGAACAUCUCACUCUGUGGGUUUUGUUUUGGGGGGGCGGGAUUAACUGGACAGUCUGCUUAUAUUGCAGGGCGUCACAGUGUUUUAUCACUCAGGGUAGGCUGUCUUUGAGCCCCUGUUACAGUAAACCUCUUUUUCUGGCAUCCAGUGACAUGAUAAUAUCAGGUUCGGUGUUUACUAAACUCAGACAUGAUGGCUGUGAACAUUCAAUCCUCACAGGCUGAGAACCUAACCAGUUUUGCCAUAUAAUAAGAUGUGUAACAACAAAAAAGUGGAAGCAUCUGCCUUCAGGGUAUAACUAGGUCAACACUUGCUGUCCUAAUAAGGGACAGACUUUGCAUGCUUGUUUGCAGAAGGAGGAGCUACUUGUAUCAUGGCAAUUAGAAGUACAUCCCACAAGUAUAACUACUCAAGAUUACACAAAUUCCUCAUGAGUCGGCUUUUGGCUGUAUGGUCAGCCACUGUAUGCAGGAAAUGAGGAUAUUGUUUAUUAGACUCAUCAGACUGAUUUGAACCUAAAUGCUGGGAGCAGUAACACAAGACGGUACUAUUACUGUAUCCAUCACUGGUGGUGUUAAUAAGCUGUCAGGGUAGUUCAACAUCUAGCUCAUAGAAGAGGAGCAAGCGUAACACUUUUAAAUGUUGCAAAUGCAACGUUUCAGCAAACAUGAGCGAGCAAACAGCCUGUUUCUGUGCAGUUUGUCACACUAUGCCUGCAAGCCAAACAUACAGCUGCUGUACUUCAGUGAAAGAUAGAAAUGAGAGAUGGCUUCACCGAGAGAGAGGAUAUAAGAAAGCCAGGACAAACAAGGAAGGAGUAAGGACAGUUCAGCUUAUAACAUCCCAAUUCUUUUUAGAGUUAUUUGAUCAGAUAUUGGAUCUAUGAACAGGAACUUUUAUUCAACUGUUAUUUAAAGGUUGUAUAAAAAUACUGGGACAUUUAGUGCAGGCCACACUGAGUUUAAAGGGCUUUGGUAAAGUGUAAAUCGCUAUAUG
Molecule: long non-coding RNA, 3310 nt
Organism: Pundamilia nyererei
Lineage: Eukaryota; Metazoa; Chordata; Actinopteri; Cichliformes; Cichlidae
Exons: 4
Source: RefSeq, a predicted model, not a curated record